This is a long non-coding RNA of Peromyscus leucopus (white-footed mouse), 2448 nucleotides long. RefSeq lists it as uncharacterized. The transcript is spliced from 3 exons. The record is from RefSeq and is a predicted model, not a curated record. NCBI's taxonomy places the organism in Eukaryota, Metazoa, Chordata, Mammalia, Rodentia, Cricetidae.
UCUGGAGACGGAACUCAGGUUGCCAAGCUUGCAUCAUGGAGUGACAUCGGCCUUUACCUGUUGAGGCAGCUUGCUGUCCCUAUCUACAAUGGUUCAUUUUGAUUGUUCACUCAGUUGGGUCUGGAGUCAACUAGGCAAUAACCUCUGAUUCCAUCUGUGGUGUAUUUCCAAGAAUUGUCUGACAGGAAGAAGACUCUCCCCGAAGAGUCUUGCUUACUUCUUGCUGGCCGAUGACUUUGUCCCACUGUGUCUGUUUUGGCCACCUUUCACUAACACUAGAAGCCAGCUUCUUAGGCCUUCUGGUGUAGACUGAAGAGCUCUCCAGGAGUCCUGCGCACCUUCAUCAGCAGAUUAGGACUGCUGAGGCAUCCAGCUGUGGAGACUGGGCACCUAAUUGGGUUCUCAGUCUCCCUAGCAAGCAGCCAGCCAUUCUGUAAUGCUUAUUCAAUGAGUACUGUCCCUCUAGAGAACCCCGACUAACACCACCUCAUUUUAACUAAUUGUCAGAAAAUGAAACCAAACCACACCAAGUGUUCCCCAAUGCAAUACAGUUUGCAAAGUCUGGGAAAGCAUACUUUUGGAGGUUACUAUUCAAUCUAGCAUAUGGUUCACAUGGAUUUAGAAAGCGUGCACAGAAGAUUCCUGGGAGACCUGCUCGGUAGCCUGCUCAGGAAACCAUGAGGUUGUAACAGAUCUUGGUGGCCUCAAUCUUGGUGGCAGUAAGGAGAAAGGAAGAGUGUAAUUCCAGCACUCGGAGGCUGGCUAUGACCUUUCCUACCUGGAAGUUGGGUCAUUUCCACUCACCUUUCACCCACCAUGCCAUGCUCUUAUGCCUCACUUCAAGGAGGGAGGAGCAGGAAGUAGGGAACUGUUAGCUUCAGGUGUGGAUAGGGGAGUGGACAAGAGAAGUAAGUGUCCCUGGAGGAAGGAUGUGGGUGGAGCAACAGUGUGUGGGGGGAUGGGGGUGAGGAAGACAUUCACAGAGAUACCGCUAGCUGGAGAAGUAUGCAGAUAGGGAGAGAAAAGCUUGGGCUUCUGGGGAUGGUCCCAUUUCCCCAAAACGGGAGAGGGUGGCAGUCUUGAUAGCAGAAACAAAAACCAGGAAAUGUGUCUGAGGCAGUACCUAUUAUUUAAGUGACAGCUGUGCAUGGAUGUUGUCCUGAGAUCUCCACCUGGAGGGCAGAAACUCAGAGCAGAGCCCCAGCCCACACAAAACAGACAUGCGGGGCGGUGUCUUCUUCCAGGGACUCACACAAAGACAGGGAUAAGAGAACCCUCACCUGGACAUGGUGGUUCAGAACUGGAAUUCCAGCACUGAGAAGACCGAGGUAGGAGGACUGUCAUGAGCUUGAGGCUAGCCUGGUCUACAUGGUAAGAUUCUAAGGGGGCUAUUCCUAAUAGCCUGAGUCAGCCCUGUCUGGCCUAUUAAUCUUCCUCCAGAGCCCAUGCAAAAGGAGGGUUCCCCCAGCAAACCUCCCCCCAUCUCUGCCAAGCAGACUUUUAAUUAAGUCCCACACCUGUCCGGUGACAAUUUACAACUUACCAGGCACAGUAUGGAGGGGGGCGGGGCUGAGAAUAGCAGGAUUAACAAAAACACUUAUUUCUUGCCCUAUUGAGAGCCUUUAUGGCAUGACUAUCAGGAAAGCAACUACUGUGAAUCUUCUGAGGUGAGACCCAGCACCACAGACAAAAGACCCAAGAAUCCAUCCUACUGUGGAGACAGAGGGAAAGGCCUCUGGAAAACAUCACCUGAAGCAGAAGCUGCCAGGGCCUCGCCUGACUGGAUGUUCCACCUCCAACAACAACUGACCCUUCUAGCUGAACAUGGCCCUGCCACAGCCAGUCAUGGCAACGUCUUUUUACACCUCUGCCUUAUGCCUCUAUAGGGUGGAGCUUACUUACUCCUGAACACCGUGGUUCCUCCACCCAGGAAAUGUGUCGGCAUGUGUAAGUUGACCCUCAUGCAUCACAAAUGAGAGGCCCUGCUACCAAGACAUAUCAUCUCAAGAUCCCUGUGAAUCAAAGCCCCCAUCCCACCCCUCUUCUCCAUUCCACACUUGGAAGCCAUUGCUCAGCUCCCAGACAGGAAGCCAGCCUGAACUUGGGUAUCAAGCCACUGAUUCUGCCCAGCAGGAGCUGUGAAAGCUAGGCCAUAUUACUCCCUUCUCUGAACCAACAAGGAACUAGCCAAGGAGAAAAAUCAUGAAAGUAGGAAAUAAUUAUGGCCCUAGCUGUAAAUAACCCAGGCCUUGUGUCACAUCUGGUAGCUGCUGGAUGUAGCACUCGAGAGCCAGAGUGUCUUGCUGCUGACUUCUCUCCAUCCACCCUGUGAAGCAAGAAUUCCAGUCCUCAGACACAAGGAAACAGGCUGAGAGAGCAUAGGUAAGUGACUCACAGGAGGCCCUCACAGCUAAUUUCUAGGACCUGCUAUCUGGGAAAACAGAUACC